RNA transcript from Pyrus x bretschneideri (Chinese white pear), 1664 nucleotides. RefSeq lists it as uncharacterized. The record is from RefSeq and is a predicted model, not a curated record. The transcript is spliced from 12 exons. NCBI's taxonomy places the organism in Eukaryota, Viridiplantae, Streptophyta, Magnoliopsida, Rosales, Rosaceae.
GUGGUAAAAAAACCAUAACUGGAAGAGAGAGCAUCAAAGCGGAAGUUGCAGGAUAAGGAAUGAGAAUUGCAAACGUGGGAUUCAAACAACCCUCCACGUUCUACGAACUACCAACCAGAUCAAAGCCGGCACCUCGAUUUCAAUUCCUAUUCUUUCACGUCCUUCCCCCUCACUCCCAACACCAUCUCCACUCCCUCUCUCGCUCUCUCUAAAAUCUAAAAUUAAAUCACGGUGUGUUUCUGAAUGCAGGGAAGAGGAAUUCUCGAAAUUUAGCUUUGCGCAGGCAAAGUGUGGGCUUUGAGAGCGAGCCAAAACUAUCUAGCGAUUCGAUGGAAUCGGAGAAGGAAUUUCCAGGGUUGAACCAGAGCCUGUACUCGACUAUUGAACCUACCCUCUAGAGAAAAGCUUGACGGAGCCGAAACCGUGACCAACCAUCAUCCGCUUUCUCCCAUAACAUCAUACGCUUAUUCUCGCAACUCUCCUCGCAGUCCACACCGGAUGCCUUCGGCAUUGCGUUCGACAUCGACGGCGUCGUUUUACGAAGCGAAGCUCCCAUCGGAGGCUCUCCUCGGGCCUUCAGAAGAUUGUACGACGAUUCUGGUAAUCUCAGGAUUCCAUACGUGUUCUUGACAAAUGGAGGUGGGAUUAGUGAAUCCAAAAGAGCCCUUGAGUUAAGUUCACUUUUAGGAGUGAAGAUUUCACCUUUACAGGUUUUACAGGGCCAUACACCUUUUAAGCAGUUACUAAACAGAUUUGAGAAUGAACUCAUUGUUCGCUUUCUGUCCAAAACUAAGUAUUUCAUGGUACAAAACCAGAAACUUGAACGGACAUCCAUUGCAAGCAUAUCCCCUGAUCAUGAAAUUCCAUAGGAACAAGUUUUUCAGUAAAAUCCCACAAAAAAACUGCUGCGCUUGGGGCAUUUUACCGCAAAAUCUCUCUGGCUUUAAUUCUUUGUUGUUUUAUCCUUUCUGUUUCCAAGCUUUUGAUGAAUUCCAGAUGGUUGCGAUUUAUUAGUUAAAGUUACUUCUUGCUUCCUGUUUGGGUUAAUAUUUAAUAUUGGGCUUUAUGUUAGUGACACCCAAGGAUGCCAAAGUGAUAGGACUUUAGCUGAAGCAGCUAAAUUUGAGUGUUUUAAUCGGUUGUAUAUAUCACCCAGUUUACUUGUUCCUACUGCUGCUCAACAGGGACGAGUUUCACAGUAGACCCAUUUGUUGAGGCUCGAAGAAAAAGGAAGGGGGGAAAGUAUAUUCUUGCCAUAGAUUUUCUGUUGGGAGUGAGCAUUGAAGAAAAGGGAAGGUGAUAACAGCGGAAGAGAUAAAUUUUUCCAUGGAGCGUGGCCAAAGUCGUGCAAGACAAUGGCGUCAAUCAUUGAGUCCUGAAGAACAUCAAAGAUAUCUAGCUCGACGACGUCUAAUAGCACAAGAAAAAAGACAACAAAUUCCAACUCUAUAUGAUGAUCAUACUAUGACAUCCCCCAGUAACAUACAACAAGAAAUUCCUGGUCCCAAUAAUAUACAAGAACGGGUUCAGUUGGCUAACUAUGAUGUUGAGGUCGACCCCAGUAAUAUAGAACAACAAAUUCCUGAACAAAUUGAGCAUGAAAGCGCGAAUUCAAGGGUUUUGUCAGAUAUCACAAAUCAUGAUGACCAAACUUCUACUAGAAU